UAAAGGAAGCGAUUCCGGCUACGGAUGGGCAUGCGGCGCAUUAGCUAGUCGGCGGGGUAACGGCCCACCGAGGCGACGAUGCGUAGGGGUUCUGAGAGGAAGGUCCCCCACACUGGUACUGAGACACGGACCAGACUCCUACGGGAGGCAGCAGUGAGGAAUAUUGGUCAAUGGGCGAGAGCCUGAACCAGCCAAGUCGCGUGAGGGAAGACGGUCCUAUGGAUUGUAAACCUCUUUUGUCGGGGAGCAAAAAGGCCUCGUGAGGCCACAAGCGAGAGUACCCGAAGAAAAAGCAUCGGCUAACUCCGUGCCAGCAGCCGCGGUAAUACGGAGGAUGCGAGCGUUAUCCGGAUUUAUUGGGUUUAAAGGGUGCGUAGGCGGACUGGAAAGUCAGCGGUAAAAUCGAGAGGCUCAACCUCUUUCCGCCGUUGAAACUGUCGGUCUUGAGUGGGCGAGAAGUAUGCGGAAUGCGUGGUGUAGCGGUGAAAUGCAUAGAUAUCACGCAGAACUCCGAUUGCGAAGGCAGCAUACCGGCGCCCGACUGACGCUGAGGCACGAAAGCGUGGGUAUCGAACAGGAUUAGAUACCCUGGUAGUCCACGCAGUAAACGAUGAAUACUAAUUGUCCGG
This 629-nucleotide ribosomal RNA is filed under the name uncultured bacterium. RNAcentral describes it as "bacterial SSU rRNA". It matches the Rfam family "Bacterial small subunit ribosomal RNA", at positions 202 to 827 of the family's 1533-position model. The record is from RNAcentral.